RNAcentral lists this ribosomal RNA (683 nucleotides) under Arrenurus manubriator. RNAcentral describes it as "partial 28S ribosomal RNA". It matches the Rfam family "Eukaryotic large subunit ribosomal RNA", at positions 104 to 636 of the family's 3401-position model. The record is from RNAcentral. Lineage: Eukaryota; Metazoa; Arthropoda; Arachnida; Trombidiformes; Arrenuridae.
AGCCCAGCGUGAAGGCUUUAUCACUCCGGUGUUAAAGCGGUGCCACGUUAGUGACUUGUCAUAAUGCUUUGCUGAAGCUUCGUGAAUGCUUUUGAAUAAGCUUCAUUUCAGCCAUAGAGGGUGCAAGCCCCUUGGCGUUGUGGAAGCAAAGCAUAGACUUGUCAUGAUAGAGUCGGGUUGCUUGAAAGUGCAACCUAAAGUAGAUGGUAAGCUCCAUCUAAGGCUAAAUAUCGCUGUGAGACCGAUAGCAAACAAGUACCGUGAGGGAAAGUUGCAAAGAACUUUGAAGAGAGAGUUCAAUAGGACGUGAAACCGUUUGCAGGUAAACAGAUGGACCCACGAAGUCCGGUUGAUCAGAGAAUUCAAAUUUUGCAAUUUGUUCUCUACUGGUUUGAUCCUUCUGCCUGAGGAAAUGACUGGUGUGAGUGCUUUUGCGAGAUGCAUUUUUUCUGAUCACGAUGGAGCUCUGACUGCUAAGUGUCUUUCACUGUGUAGGGCUGCUUUGAACUGAGAGAUGAUCCUUAGGGUUCAAAUCUUCAGUUUGAGGUUAUCAGUGAAGUCACUUCGAGUGGUUGAAUUACUUACUUCGGUGAGUGUUCAGGUUGUCGAUGUCUGUCUUUGAGCAGUGCGUAUAAGAAUCUAUUCUUUCGGCUCUUGAAGUUGAAAAAUAGAAGUCUUGUAUG